ACAUGGGUUUGGAUUUGUGGCAGGUCUGUCUCCCUGGGCCUCCCAUAAUGCCCCAGGCCAGAGCCAGCUGGCCCCAAACCACUGCCUGGCCUGUGCUACUGGUGCCACAGCAGGUGGCACAGUG
Molecule: small nucleolar RNA, 124 nt
Filed under: Sciurus vulgaris (Eurasian red squirrel)
Lineage: Eukaryota; Metazoa; Chordata; Mammalia; Rodentia; Sciuridae
Description: Small nucleolar RNA SNORA42/SNORA80 family (ENSSVLG00005008542.1)
Rfam family: Small nucleolar RNA SNORA42/SNORA80 family
About the family: The members of this family belong to the H/ACA class of snoRNAs that guide the sites of modification of uridines to pseudouridines. Human ACA42 (SNORA42) was cloned from HeLa cells by immunoprecipitation with anti-GAR1 antibody.
Source: Rfam by way of RNAcentral